CCAGUGUCCGGCCGCGGGCCGGCCUUAGUGACUGGGGGCGGCGGGCCCGGGGCCGCGGGCGCGGGGCGGGCGGCGGGCGCGGGCUGCCUUCGUCGGGUCCCGAGCCCGCCUGGAGCGAGCAGCUGCCCGCGAGCCGCCGCGGAGCCUCCUCGCCCGCUCCCGCCGGCGAGCAAGAUGAUGUGCGAGGUGAUGCCGACCAUCAGUGAAGCGGAGGGCCCCCCAGGAGGGGGUGGGAGCCAUGGGUCCGGCUCCCCUUCGCAGCCGGAUGCCGAUUCACAUUUCGAGCAGUUGAUGGUGUCCAUGCUGGAAGAGAGGGACCGUCUCCUGGACACGCUGAGAGAGACUCAAGAAACGCUGGCGUUAACCCAGGGCAAGUUACACGAGGUUGGUCACGAGAGAGACUCCUUGCAGAGGCAGCUCAAUACGGCGCUUCCACAGGAGUUUGCAGCACUUACUAAAGAACUGAACGUGUGCAGGGAACAGCUGCUUGAGAGGGAAGAGGAGAUCGCUGAGCUGAAAGCAGAGAGGAACAACACCAGGCUGCUGCUGGAGCAUCUGGAGUGCCUGGUCUCCCGGCACGAGCGGUCCCUCAGGAUGACGGUGGUCAAGAGGCAGGCGCAGUCCCCAGCCGGCGUGUCCAGCGAGGUGGAGGUUCUCAAAGCACUGAAGUCAUUAUUUGAGCACCACAAGGCCCUGGACGAGAAGGUGAGGGAGCGAUUACGAGUAGCACUUGAAAGGUGUAGUUUGUUAGAAGAAGAAUUAGGUGCCACACACAAAGAGCUAAUGAUUCUUAAAGAACAGAAUAACCAGAAGAAAACACUUACGGACGGGGUGCUUGAUGAAAACCACGAGCAGGAAGACACGCCGAGCGCCAAUGGGAAGCGGUCUUCCGACGGUUCUCUGAGCCACGAGGAGGACCUGGCCAAAGUGGUGGAGCUCCAGGAGGUCAUAGACAAGCAGGCGAGGGAGCAGACCCAGAUGAAGGAGCGCCUGGCAGCCCUCUCUGCGCGUGUGACCGAGCUGGAGGGGGACCUGGACACGGCCAGGAAGGACCUCAUCAAGUCCGAGGAGGCGAACACCAGGCUGCAGCGGGACGUCCGCGAGGCCAUGGCCCAGAAGGAAGACAUGGAGGAGAGAAUCACUACUCUGGAGAAACGCUACCUCGCCGCACAGCGGGAAGCCACCUCUGUGCACGACCUCAACGAUAAACUUGAAAAUGAAAUUGCAAAUAAGGAUUCUAUGCAUCGACAGACGGAGGAUAAGAACCGCCAGUUGCAAGAGCGCCUGGAGCUGGCGGAGCAGAAGCUGCAGCAGACCCUGCGCAAGGCGGAGACGCUGCCCGAGGUGGAGGCCGAGCUGGCGCAGCGCGUGGCCGCACUCUCUAAGGCCGAGGAGAGACACGGCAACAUCGAGGAGCGACUCCGCCAGAUGGAGGCGCAGCUGGAGGAGAAGAGCCAGGAGCUGCAGCGGGCGAGGCAGAGAGAGAAAAUGAAUGAAGAACACAACAAGCGCUUAUCCGACACUGUGGACAAGCUGCUUUCAGAAUCCAACGAGAGGCUCCAGCUUCACCUUAAGGAGAGGAUGGCCGCCCUGGAGGACAAGAAUUCUCUCAUACGUGAAGUGGAAAAUGCAAAAAAGCAGCUGGAAGAAGCGCAGCAUGAUAAGGAUCAGCUGAUGCUAAAACUGGAAGCGCUGCGAGCUGAGCUGGACCAGACGAGGCUGAGAGGGGCUCCCCUUCACCACGGCCGACCCCACUUGGGCAGCGUCCCAGACUUCCGGUUCCCGGCGGCAGACGGGCCCGAGGACUCCUACAGCAGCAGCGCGGUGUUGCGGCGCCCCCAGAAAGGCCGGCUGGCAGCUCUCCGCGACGAGCCUUCCAAGGUGCAGACUCUGAACGAGCAGGACUGGGAGCGCGCCCAGCAGGCCAGCGUGCUGGCAAACGUGGCCCAGGCGUUCGAGAGUGACGUCGACGUGUCCGACGGCGAGGACGACAGGGACGCUCUGUUCAGCUCGGCAGCCCUGCUGUCGCCCGGUGGGCAGGCCGAUGCCCAGACCCUGGCCAUGAUGCUGCAGGAGCAGCUGGACGCCAUCAAUAAAGAGAUCCGGCUGAUUCAAGAAGAGAAGGAGAACACGGAGCAACGGGCGGAAGAGAUUGAGAGCAGAGUGGGCAGUGGGAGUUUGGACAGUCUUGGUCGUUUUAGAUCAAUGAGCUCCAUCCCCCCCUAUCCUGCUUCCUCGAUCGCCGGCUCCUCGCCUCCCAACAGCGGGCGGUCCACCCCGCGAAGGAUGCCGCACAGUCCGGCGAGGGAGGUGGACAGACUAGGUAUCAUGACUCUGCCUAGCGAUUUAAGGAAACAUCGUAGAAAGCUGCCCGCUUCCCGAGAAGAGGUACGAGACGACAAGACGACCAUCAAAUGUGAAACCUCCCCCCCCGCCUCCCCGCGGUCCCUGCGGCUGGACCGGCUGCACAAGGGGGCACCGCACACCGUCAGCCACGAGGACAUCAGGGACGCACGGAACUCCACAGGCUCUCAGGACGGCCCCGUGAGCAAUCCCAGCAGCAGUAACAGCAGCCAGGACUCGCUCCACAAAGCCCCUAAGAAGAAAGGCAUCAAGUCCUCCAUCGGCCGCUUGUUUGGCAAGAAAGAAAAGGGCCGACCUGGACACCCCGGCAGGGAGUCCUUCGGGCAAGCUGGCGUUUCAGAGAUAGAAAACUCAUCUCAGGAUGCCUUGGGGCUCAGCAAAUUGGGAGGACAGGCUGAAAAAAAUCGUAAACUGCAAAAAAAGCACGAGCUGCUCGAGGACGCGCGGAGACAAGGCCUGCCUUUUGCCCAGUGGGACGGGCCGACGGUCGUCGUGUGGCUGGAGCUCUGGGUGGGGAUGCCCGCGUGGUAUGUGGCCGCCUGCCGGGCCAACGUGAAGAGCGGGGCCAUCAUGUCCGCGCUGUCGGACACCGAGAUCCAGCGGGAGAUCGGCAUCAGCAACCCCCUGCACAGGCUCAAGCUGCGGCUGGCCAUUCAGGAGAUCAUGUCCCUGACCAGCCCCUCGGCGCCCCCGACCUCGAGGACGACCCUGGCCUACGGGGACAUGAACCACGAGUGGAUCGGCAACGAGUGGCUGCCCAGCCUGGGCCUCCCGCAGUACCGCAGCUACUUCAUGGAGUGCCUGGUGGACGCGCGGAUGCUGGACCACCUGACCAAGAAGGACCUCCGCGGGCAGCUGAAGAUGGUCGACAGUUUCCACAGAAACAGUUUCCAGUGUGGAAUUAUGUGCCUGCGAAGGUUAAAUUAUGACCGAAAAGAACUGGAGAGAAGAAGAGAAGAAAGCCAGAAUGAACUAAAAGACGUGCUCGUCUGGAGCAACGACCGCGUCAUCCGCUGGAUCCUCUCCGUGGGCCUCAAGGAGUACGCCAACAACCUGCUCGAGAGCGGCGUGCACGGCGCGCUUAUGGCCUUGGACGAGACCUUCGACUUCAGCGCCCUGGCCCUCUUGUUACAGAUCCCCACGCAGAACACCCAGGCUCGUGCUGUCUUGGAAAGAGAGUUUAACAACCUUUUGGUCAUGGGGACUGACAGACGGUUUGAUGAGGACGACGACAAAAGCUUUAGGAGAGCACCCUCCUGGAGAAGGAAGUUCAGACCGAAGGACGUGCGUGGUGUGGCCGCCGGCUCCGCAGAGAUCCUCCCCGCGGACUUCCGGGCCACCUCCCCUCUGUCCUCACCCCCCCUGCAGCCAAAGAAGGCGCAGCUGGACGGUAGGUGGCGCGGCGCCGCCGCGGAUCGUCCUAACCCGGUGUGUGAGCGUGGCAUCCUAACACGGUGUGUGAGCGUGGCGCGGUCGCAGUGGUUUUCAAGUGCUUGUCUGGUUGAAUGUCAGCACCUUCCUCCAGCUGAUAAGCGCAGAGUCACGCGUUCUCAGCGCGUUAGCGCGACGCCCCCGCCUGUCCAGACGUGCGCGAGGCCGGCAGCGCUCAGAGGCCCCUCGGCCACACGGCCUCCACCUCGGACUCGUCUGCACCCGGGGAGGGCGACCGAGGCACCUUGGUGACUUCGUGACAGGGCGUCCACCCUCCCCAUCUUCCCUCCGUCCCUGCCGCUGUCUGUGCCUUUUGUGCCGCAAGGGGACGGGGAGAAGGGAGACGGCGGAGGCAGUGUCCCCGCCGUCGGGCCCGCCGCUGUCCUUCCCAGCCACGCGCUGCUUUUCCCUUUGACGACCCUCCUGCCAGGGGACCCCCGCUAGUUAGGGUUGGCCAGGGUCCCUGGCAGACCCCUCAGCUCUGCUGUGUCCCCACUCGCUCCGUGUCCCCUUCCGGAAAAGGGUUGCCUUGGCAGGGUCCUCUGGGCCAGCUGCGAGGGGCACAGAGGGCUCUGAGGAAAGCGCCUGCCGUGUGGGCGUAGCUGGGGUCACGCUGGCGCUCCUGUCUUCACUGACCGCCCGCCCCCGCUGUCUGCCAGGGCUGCACAGGCCGCGGGAGCUGUGGUUUAAGGUGCACGGCGGGGCCUCUGCCGUGUGCUGUCGUCAGCCCUCCCCGUCGGUAGGUUUACGCGUUGCUCUCGCCUGCCUCGUAAAAACCCGAGCGAAGGGCCUUUAGGAAUAUGCCUCGCGGAGCUGGAGGCUUGCAGGGAGGCUGAUGUACAGGGCAGCGCUUCUGUUAAAAAGCUGCCUCUCUGCUUUUCCCAGGCUCAUGGCAGGCAGGCCUUGAGAAAGUUUCUUCCCUCUGAGACUGAGUACUGGGUGAAAGAAGGCAGCUGAGGAGUUCCCGUCGUGGCGUAGUGGUUAACGAACCCGACUAGGAACCAUGAGGUUGCGGGUUCGGUCCCUGCCCUUGCUCAGUGGGUUAACGAUCCGGCGUUGCCGUGAGCUGUGGUGUAGGUUGCAGACGCGGCUCGGAUCCCGCGUUGCUGUGGCUCUGGCAUAGGCUGGUGGCUACAGCUCCGUUUCAACCCCUAGCCUGGGAACCUCCAUAUGCCGCGGGAGCGGCCCAAGAAAUAGCAACAACAACAACAAAAGACAAAAGACAAAAAAAAAAAAAAGAAGGCAGUUGAAACUGUAGCCACAGGAGGCUCUGCGCUUCCAGGAAAUCUGAGGAAGCGCUGCAGGCCGCUGUGGGGGCUGUGGGUCAGGCUCCGAAGGGGAGCGGGUGGAGAGGUGGACGGAGCGAGCCUGCGAGCCGGGGCGAGGUCUUCUCCCCCAGCACGGAGGCGUCAGAGGAGUUCCGGGCGGCAGAGUCAUUGCUUUAGAGGUGGCGCCGUUCUUGGCAAACACAUAGACACUGGACGUCCCGCUGCAGCGCCUCGCGGGCGGCUGCCUCUUCCACGGAAGCUCUGAAAUUGGUGCCUCAUGUAAAUGAUCUGCAGGAGUUCCCCUGUGGCUCAGCAGUUAGCAAAUCCUACCAGCAUCCAUGAGGACAUGGGUUUGAGCCCUGGCCUUGCUCAGGGGGUUAAGGAUCGGGUGUUGCUGUGAGCUGUGGUGUAGGUCGCAGACGCGGCUUGGAUCCUGCGUUGCUGUGGCUUGGCCUAGGCUGGCGGCUAUAGCUCCAGUUAGACCCCUAGCCUGGGAACCUCCAUAUGCUGCAGGUGCAGCCCUAAAAAAGACAAAUAAUAAUAAUUUCCACGUCUUUCAUAAUAAACUCAUGAUAUCUAAACUAAAAAAAAAAAAAAAAACCUGCAUCUCUUUGCCAGAGUUUGGUAAUAUGCUAGGAGUAUUUCUCUCCCGAGGAGCAUGUAGUUAAUUUUUCCUGAUUUUAACUGUAAUUUGGCCUUCAGCUUACUGAAGAAUAGUCUAAACGAGUGCUUUCUUAUUUUUCUCAUAGCUUCAUUGCCAGCUCCUCAACGCAAACUGCAUUUGCCUGUUAAAUGUUCACAUGAGAGUUUAGAUUAAAAUAAUCCUUGAGAGAGGUGUGGGACUCUAUUGCAUGGGAGAGGACUUUUCACCCUAAGGCAUAAGCGGUUAAAAUGGGUUGUUUUCACGGCUCUUUAAGGCAAAUAGCAGCAGGGCUGUGGGGCCCUUAGAAGCAGAAGGAUUUAUAAAGAUGAUCCGUUUCCAUCAGCAGCCUUAACGUCCUUUCUAGAAGCAGGGCAGAGUAUUGAUAAGAGGUGUCCGGUGGACCGGUGAGGAAACCAAAAACGUAGACUCAGGAGCCGCGAGUUUCUGCUGGGCGCUUAGGGAGGAAAUUUCUUGUUCCCCUUGAACCGGGUCGGGGUGCGGGGCUCACCUGCUGGGCCAGGCAGCCUGGUUCCCGACAGGAAAAACCGUCAGUUGAGAUGAUGCCGGCGGGAACUGAGACAGGGCUUCCUCUUUGCUAGACCGCCCCCCUCUGGCCACCCUGCACCGGCCCCAUGGGGAGUGUCACCAGGGCCCCGGCAGGGAGUCCCGGUGGCUCCCAGGGCCGAGUAGGCCCAGCCUCUUCCAUCACUGUCACCGCCCGGGGUCGCUGCUCUCUCCUCUCACCCGUUCUGCCAGGUGCCGUAUUUAGGGCCCAAAGGAGGUCCAGUCGCCCCGUAAAUCCAGAGGGCUGAAGGCAAAAUGACAUUGCCGCGCCAGGUAGCUGUCAUCAGGAAGUGGCUCUGUGUCCCCAGGCGUGCCAGCGCUGUUUUAGCCCGGACCCCCGGGCCUCCCAGGGCUGGUGGGGCGAGGGGGACCCCCACGUGCAGGCGCUGAGCUUCACUUUCUCUGGCUCGCCCGCCCUCUGGAAGUUUCCCCGGAACCUCAGGAGGUGCAGGCGCCGUGUGGGUGUGUGUGUGAGCACCUGCGCCCGUGUGACGUUUUACGACUAACUGCACGCUGUGUUUGCACGCCUCCCUCGCGGCGCGGCGGUCUGACAGGCGGCGUGUCGGGAUCGCAGAGGCUGGAUUCUGCCACAGUCAGGACUUACUCCUGCUGAAGCCCCGCCGGCUACCCCCACUACUUCUACCGCUGAGGCGCAGCCGUGGCCCAGCAGAGACCCUACCCCGAUGGAAUCGUCCAUCUGUUCAUACUUGUUAUAUGGACCCGGAGAUAUUUUAUUACAGAGUUUUUAAUUAGAGAAAAAUUCAUGAAUACCAUAGAGAAAAUAUUUUAGAAUUUAAUGUUUCUUAUAUUUAUGUAAACUUAUGACUUCAUUUAUAUAGCUACUUACUUUUUCAUGUAUAUCCAGGCUAUAAAUAUCCUUUCAAAUCCGUUCAUGUUCUUAUAUCUGAUUUUAGUCUUUCAAAUGAAUGUGCGGUAAGGCUUGUAUGUAUAAAUCUUAUGAACAAAUAUAGGGCUUUUGUAAAUUGUGCAUUUUAUUGUAAUUAUCAUUGUUUAAUUUUUUAAUAAUAAACCGCCACAGAGGAAAGGAUUUUACUGCGUUUGUAAAAUCAAGACACAGUUGCACUAACCUUCACACGAUGUGACUCGGCUCUGCAACAGUCAUUUUGAAGUGAGCAAACUUAAUUUCAAGCAGUUGUUACAUUUUAAGGACUGACCUUCACUGUACUUUUUCUAGCAAGAACAGCUUUACUCUGCAGCGUGGAGACAUGAAUACCGGGUGUUAAGUGUCUGAUAAAAUCCGGACCGAAAGCGUUGUCAGAACCCUCUGCAAAGCUCUGUGGACCGCUUACCUCCUCCCCAGCCUGGUCUCCGGGGCCCGGCGGGGGCUGGGGAACGAGACCCGGUGGGCUGGGCCCUCGCCCGCCCCUUCCAGCACCUUCCUUCCAGCACCUUCCCAGACCUUCCCGCGCUCCUCCUGCGGGCAGGCGGGGUCAGGCCACGGCAGACGCUCUGAGAGGACCAAUGGCGGAGCCCUUCGUGAAGCGAGAGACCCUGGAAAUAAUGCGACGCGACCCUAAUAAAGGCCUUAUUUUUCUUACGUAAAUCCUCUCUUUACAUCUGUUUGUAAACAGGUUUAAAGAAGGGACCUAGUCGUACAUUUUUAGAUUUUUGACGAUAUAGCCAUUUUGGAUUGUAUAAGUAGCAAAUGUAACUUUUAUCUUUUAAGUGACAUAUUAAAAGCCAGCAGGAACUGUGUUCAGAUCGCGGUGCAUUAUUUAUUAUGCAGCUGAUAGGGAGAGACACCUGUCUUCUUGCCUUUGGUUUCUGCUUUCAAUCUACUUGUACAAUUCCUUGUCUCCAUUCUGUUUUUCUAGUAAUCUUUUGGGAACUUGCUGAUUAUGUAACAAAGUAUAUGUACAGUCUACUUUUGAACUAUUUUUAUCACAGUGUUAUUUAUUGCUUUCUUUCAAUAAAGUACUGAAGCGUUU
Sus scrofa (pig) is the source of this 8219-nucleotide non-coding RNA. Lineage: Eukaryota; Metazoa; Chordata; Mammalia; Artiodactyla; Suidae. The record is from RefSeq and is a predicted model, not a curated record.